Molecule: ribosomal RNA, 435 nt
Filed under: uncultured bacterium
Lineage: Bacteria
Description: bacterial SSU rRNA
Rfam family: Bacterial small subunit ribosomal RNA
Source: RNAcentral
AAUGAACGCUGGCGGCAUGCCUAACACAUGCAAGUCGAACGAGACCUUCGGGUCUAGUGGCGCACGGGUGCGUAACGCGUGGGAAUCUGCCCUUGGGUUCGGAAUAACAGUGAGAAAUUACUGCUAAUACCGAAUGAUGACGUAAGUCCAAAGAUUUAUCGCCCAGGGAUGAGCCCGCGUAGGAUUAGCUAGUUGGUGAGGUAAAAGCUCACCAAGGCGACGACCUUAGCUGGUCUGAGAGGAUGAUCAGCCACACUGGGACUGAGACACGGCCCAGACUCCUACGGGAGGCAGCAGUGGGGAAUAUUGGACAAUGGCGAACGCCUGAUCCAGCAAUGCCGCGUGAGUGAUGAAGGCCUUAGGGUUGUAAAGCUCUUUACCCGGGAUGAUAAUGACAGUACCGGGAGAAUAAGCUCCGGCUAACUCCGUGCCAGC